UUCAAUAUACUAACUAAAGCUAGAAAGCAACUCCUACAACUACCGCCGCCGCCGUGAACAGUGGCCACAGACGGUGGUCCUCCACUGCCUAAAAUCCAAAAUCGCCAAAACGCAACCAAACUCAAUUCCAUGCAUAUACAGAGGUAGAGCUCGAAAAAAUGGACAAAGUUUCAUACCUUGAUCGAAACCAAUCGCCGCCAGAAAACGAAGAACACGAUCGGAAAACUUAGAAACUCCUCCUCUUAGAUUCUCCCUCACCUGACCUCGUCUCGACAAGCUGAAGAUACAAGAAUGUCGAGGAUGAGGAGAUGAAGCUAUCCAUACCAGUGAGAGGCGUCGACGCUGCCGGAAUCGGAGACUCGCCGGCAACCCAGCCUCUCCUUCUCCACUUCGAAUCUCUCACUCCAGACUUCUUAUCUGAAAAUCAAGGGCUUGGGCAUGACCACGAGAACGAGAGGAAGCUGCCGCUACCAUUCUUUCUCCUCGCCGUCGCCGGAAAACGGAGAACCAGUCGGGUUGACCCGUCCACUCCAUUCGGGUCGAGAAUGACCCGUCUGGGUCUGAAUUCUUUCUUCCUCCCCCCUUCUCCCGAACCUUCCUUUCCUCUUUUAAUUUUUUUUUUUGCUUAGGUCGGUUUUACCGAUCCCUCUAGAACCUUCCUCUCUCUUCUUAUACCCUUUACCGAAAUAGAAACUUUCCAUUUUUAGACCAUAAUUUUCUCAUACGAACUCCGAUUUGAGCGUGCCACGUGUCCACGAACUCGUAUUAACGUCCUCUACGACUUCUAUGAAGGAAGUUCUCCCAAAUUAUCAACUUAAGAAAAAGUCAACUUUUUGGGUCCUUUACGGUAAAACGGUUACAAGAAACAAUAAUUGAAAAUUUACUGUAAACUUCAUAAAUUCACAGAACAUAGCUCAUCGCUCCGGAAAAUAAUCCGGACAUACCGGUGAGCUCAUAUAAACGUGUACCACGACUUCGGACUUUUAAAUCCACUAUUUACCCAUUUCCAGAAAAGCUCGAAAACAACCUCGAGCAAUCACUAUUUAAAUCUC
This 1052-nucleotide long non-coding RNA is filed under the name Fragaria vesca (wild strawberry). RNAcentral describes it as "long non-coding RNA (FVES_LNC004676)". Lineage: Eukaryota; Viridiplantae; Streptophyta; Magnoliopsida; Rosales; Rosaceae. The record is from RNAcentral.